CAGCUCAAAUUUGAAAUCUGGCCCUCGGGUCCGAAUUGUAAUUUGUAGAGGAUGCUUUUGGCGCGGUGCCUUCCGAGUUCCCUGGAACGGGACGCCUUAGAGGGUGAGAGCCCCGUACGGUCGGACGCCUAGCCUCUGUAAAGCUCCUUCGACGAGUCGAGUAGUUUGGGAAUGCUGCUCUAAAUGGGAGGUAAAUUUCUUCUAAAGCUAAAUACCGGCCAGAGACCGAUAGCGCACAAGUAGAGUGAUCGAAAGAUGAAAAGCACUUUGAAAAGAGGGUUAAAUAGCACGUGAAAUUGUUGAAAGGGAAGCGUUUGCGACCAGACUUUUUCCGGGAGGAUCAUCAGGUGUUCUCACCUGUGCACUUCUCCCGGUCAAGGCCAGCAUCGGUUUCCGGAGGGGGAUAAAAGCUUAGGGCACGUAGCUCCCUCGGGAGUGUUAUAGCCCUUUGCACAAUACCCCUCUGGGGACCGAGGAACGCGCUCUGCAAGGAUGCUGGCGUAAUGGUCGUCAACGACCCGUCUUGAAACACGGACCAAGGAGUCGAACAUUUGUGCGAGUGUUAGGGUGUCAAACCCCUGCGCGUAAUGAAAGUGAACGGAGGUGAGAGCCCUUACGGGUGCAUCAUCGACCGAUCCUGAUGUUUUCGGAUGGAUUUGAGUAAGAGCAUAAAUGUUCGGACCCGAAAGAUGGUGAACUAUGCGUGGAUAGGGUGAAGCCAGAGGAAACUCUGGUGGAGGCUCGCAGCGGUUCUGACGUGCAAAUCGAUCGUC
RNAcentral lists this ribosomal RNA (773 nucleotides) under Endocalyx grossus. RNAcentral's name for it is "Endocalyx melanoxanthus var. grossus partial large subunit ribosomal RNA". It matches the Rfam family "Eukaryotic large subunit ribosomal RNA", at positions 104 to 906 of the family's 3401-position model. Lineage: Eukaryota; Fungi; Ascomycota; Sordariomycetes; Amphisphaeriales; Apiosporaceae. The record is from RNAcentral.